Molecule: transfer RNA, 75 nt
Filed under: Bacillota bacterium
Lineage: Bacteria; Bacillati; Bacillota
Also listed under: 2 other names
Description: tRNA-Gln
Rfam family: tRNA
About the family: Transfer RNA (tRNA) molecules are approximately 80 nucleotides in length. Their secondary structure includes four short double-helical elements and three loops (D, anti-codon, and T loops). Further hydrogen bonds mediate the characteristic L-shaped molecular structure. tRNAs have two regions of fundamental functional importance: the anti-codon, which is responsible for specific mRNA codon recognition, and the 3' end, to which the tRNAs corresponding amino acid is attached (by aminoacyl-tRNA synthetases). tRNAs cope with the degeneracy of the genetic code in two manners: having more than one tRNA (with a specific anti-codon) for a particular amino acid; and 'wobble' base-pairing, i.e. permitting non-standard base-pairing at the 3rd anti-codon position.
Source: RNAcentral
UGGGGCAUAGCCAAGCGGUAAGGCACUAGACUUUGACUCUACCAUUCCCUGGUUCGAUCCCAGGUGCCCCAGCCA